Long non-coding RNA from Lepidothrix coronata (blue-crowned manakin), 850 nucleotides. RefSeq lists it as uncharacterized. The record is from RefSeq and is a predicted model, not a curated record. NCBI's taxonomy places the organism in Eukaryota, Metazoa, Chordata, Aves, Passeriformes, Pipridae. The transcript has 3 exons.
CACUGUGCAAGAGGUCUCAGAUGCAAGGACAAGGUUUGAAAAGUCUACGAAAGAAAUACUUCAAAAGUAGCACAUUUUUGUACUGACUUAUUGGGAAUGCCAACAAAACUGUCCUUAGCAAUGAUGAUACAGUAUACAGUACCAGCAUAGAACUGUAUUGGCUUAAAUUGCUUCAUCAGGAUGCUUAAAUACAAAGCCAAUUAGAAAAUUUAUUGGAUGCUCUUCACAUAAUGUAAACUUUCUUACAGGAAACAUGGAGAAGAUGAUUUUAAAGGUCUUUAAAAUGGUUCUCAGUACAGUGAUCAAAGUGCUACUUAUUAAAACAGAACCAUCUACAGCGAUCUGGGUGACUGAGAAGCGGCACGGCAUUUCUCGCUGAAGAAUUCACAGACAAAGGGCCAGGAGGAAUAUAAAGAUCAUCAAUUAGUAUUUUAGAUUCCUCCCUCCCAACGAGUUGCUGUUAUCUUGGAAAACGGAGCAGUUAUAUGAGAAUCACAGGGCAUCACACAAUAGAACUUCCGCAACUGCAGAAUUCAAACCCUUCCGUAUGAUUACGGUAAAUCACUGCUCUGCUCCAGAGACACACUUCUGAUACCAUUUCUGGCACCAAAGCCGUAACAUAUGGAGGAGGUGCAGGCAGCAAGGGGGAAUACCAUACGAGGAACGAACCACCCCGAAAAGCAGACCCUUUCCUUUGCGCAUCCAGACGUAUCAAAGGGCACGACUGCGGGCGGCUCUUCGCCGCUCCGCUUCCACUCUGCCAAACCCGUCACGUUUAAAGGCGUACCCGGGGAGCUGCUGGAGCGCCGCAGCGGGGUCCGGACCUGCGGAAGCGCCGCCACCACCACGG